CCUACGGGUGGCAGCAGUGAGGAAUAUUGGUCAAUGGGCGCUAGCCUGAACCAGCCAAGUAGCGUGAAGGAUGACGGCCCUACGGGUUGUAAACUGCUUUUAUAUGGGAAUAAAGUGCAUUAUGUAUACUGCUUUGCAUGUACCGUAUGAAUAAGGAUCGGCUAACUCCGUGCCAGCAGCCGCGGUAAUACGGAGGAUCCGAGCGUUAUCCGGAUUUAUUGGGUUUAAAGGGAGCGUAGGCGGGUUGUUAAGUCAGUUGUGAAAGUUUGCGGCUCAACCGUAACAUUGCAGUUGAUACUGGCGUCCUUGAGUACACUAGAGGUAGGCGGAAUUCGUGGUGUAGCGGUGAAAUGCUUAGAUAUCACGAAGAACUCCGAUUGCGAAGGCAGCCUACUGGACUGUAACUGACGCUGAUGCUCGAAAGCGUGGGUAUCAAACAGGAUUAGAUACCCGGGUAGUC
RNAcentral lists this ribosomal RNA (460 nucleotides) under uncultured bacterium. Its description in RNAcentral is "partial 16S ribosomal RNA". It matches the Rfam family "Bacterial small subunit ribosomal RNA", at positions 338 to 795 of the family's 1533-position model. The record is from RNAcentral.